This 62-nucleotide transfer RNA is filed under the name Yunnantettix bannaensis. Its description in RNAcentral is "tRNA-Arg". Lineage: Eukaryota; Metazoa; Arthropoda; Insecta; Orthoptera; Tetrigidae. The record is from RNAcentral.
UAAUAAGAAGCUAUUAAGCAUUCAGUUUCGACCUGAUUCAAAGGUAAAUCUACCCUUAUUGA